This 259-nucleotide ribosomal RNA is filed under the name uncultured prokaryote. RNAcentral's name for it is "partial 16S ribosomal RNA". It matches the Rfam family "Bacterial small subunit ribosomal RNA", at positions 524 to 782 of the family's 1533-position model. The record is from RNAcentral.
UACGUAGGUGGCGAGCGUUAUCCGGAAUUAUUGGGCGUAAAGAGCGCGCAGGUGGUUGAUUAAGUCUGAUGUGAAAGCCCACGGCUUAACCGUGGAGGGUCAUUGGAAACUGGUCGACUUGAGUGCAGAAGAGGGAAGUGGAAUUCCAUGUGUAGCGGUGAAAUGCGUAGAUAUAUGGAGGAACACCAGUGGCGAAGGCGACUCUCUGGUCUGUUAUUGACGCUGAGGCUCGAAAGCGUGGGGAGCAAACAGGAUUAGA